GUAGGUGGCAAGCGUUGUCCGGAAUUAUUGGGCGUAAAGCGCGCGCAGGCGGUUCUUUAAGUCUGAUGUGAAAGCCCACGGCUCAACCGUGGAGGGUCAUUGGAAACUGGAGAACUUGAGUACAGAAGAGGAAAGCGGAAUUCCACGUGUAGCGGUGAAAUGCGUAGAGAUGUGGAGGAACACCAGUGGCGAAGGCGGCUUUCUGGUCUGUAACUGACGCUGAGGCGCGAAAGCGUGGGGAGCAAACAGGGAUUAGAUACCCUGGUAGUCCACGCCGUAAACGAUGAGUGCUAAGUGUUAGGGGGUUUCCGCCCCCUUAGUGCUGCAGCUAACGCAUUAAGCACUCCGCCUGGGGAAUACGGCCGCAAGGCUG
This 373-nucleotide ribosomal RNA is filed under the name uncultured organism. RNAcentral describes it as "partial 16S ribosomal RNA". It matches the Rfam family "Bacterial small subunit ribosomal RNA", at positions 527 to 896 of the family's 1533-position model. The record is from RNAcentral.